UACGGAGGGUGCAAGCGUUGUCCGGAUUUAUUGGGUUUAAAGGGUGCGUAGGCGGCCCGUUAAGUCAGUGGUGAAAGCCUCCAGCUCAACUGGAGAACUGCCAUUGAUACUGACGGGCUUGAGUACAGACGAGGUAGGCGGAAUUGAUUGUGUAGCGGUGAAAUGCAUAGAUACAAUCAAGAACACCGAUUGCGUAGGCAGCUUACUAGGCUGUAACUGACGCUGAGGCACGAAAGCGUGGGGAGCAAACAGG
RNAcentral lists this ribosomal RNA (253 nucleotides) under uncultured bacterium. RNAcentral's name for it is "partial 16S ribosomal RNA". It matches the Rfam family "Bacterial small subunit ribosomal RNA", at positions 524 to 776 of the family's 1533-position model. The record is from RNAcentral.